RNAcentral lists this unclassified non-coding RNA (346 nucleotides) under uncultured fungus. RNAcentral describes it as "partial contains 18S rRNA, ITS1 and 5.8S rRNA". The record is from RNAcentral. Lineage: Eukaryota; Fungi.
AGGUGAACCUGCGGAAGGAUCAUUAUUGAAUUAUGUUUUCUAGAUGGGUUGUAGCUGGCUUUCAGGAGCAUGUGCACGCCUGUCUGGACUUCAUUUUCAUCCACCUGUGCACCUUUUGUAGUCUUUGUUGGGUAUUGAGGAAGUGGUCAGCCUAUCAGCAUUGCUGGAUAAGAGAACUUGCAGUGCGAAAGCAUUGCUAUCCUCUACUUGGCCAUGGAAUCUUUUUUCCUGUCAGAGUCUAUGUUAUUCAUUAUACCUUACAGAAAGUUAUUGAAUGUCUUUACAUGGGCUUCUAAGCUUAUGAAAAUUAUAAUACAACUUUCAGCAACGGAUCUCUUGGCUCUCG